UAUCUUGAGUGACAUUCUGAGGCCUAAAGCCCGCCGCCGCCGCGCAUGCGCAUUCCGACCAACACCGGGGGGCGGGGGACGGACCCCGCUCUCCGCCCCCCUCCCACCAGCCUGAGAGGGGCGGGGCCUAGUCUCACUGGAGGAGCUCCUAGCAUACAUAGCCUGACUUGUAGUGUUCGUGCUGGGUAGCUGCCCUGCUACCCUUCGCCUGCUCGCAGCCGCUCUCCGCUGGGGCUGGCAUAAAACGUCUUUGCCAUGGGACGCCGAGGCCGUGUUGCCAGAGUUAUGAUAAUGAUCAUAUCUGCCCAAUCAUUUCAACCCAGGUCAAAUAAGCAGAAUCGGUUCCGAAUCCUCUUGACUGAGCAACACUCAAAUCGUUCAAGCAUCAUACACCGUACAACCAGCAAGCAUCAGAUAUUCCCAAAUCCAUUGGUGGGCAUCCCACAUGCAGGCAAAGGCCUGGAGGCUUGGGGUUCGGAUGCCCCCGCAUAGCACUUGCCCUUAACCAAAGGCCACAGGAGCAAGCUAGGGAGGAGUUGUUCAUUUCCAUAAAGUUGGUGUGUAGCCGAGAUCCUCCCAUGGGAAGCUAAUUACAAGCCUCAUUGGGUGUCCUGUUCACUGGACAGGGUGCACCCUCCCCUAUGCAGUGCCAUUUUCAGAUGUGCUAUCAGCAUUUUCUUAUGACUGCUUACCUCAAAAUAAAGAAAAGCUUCAACUUUGA
Alligator mississippiensis (American alligator) is the source of this 721-nucleotide long non-coding RNA. RefSeq lists it as uncharacterized. The record is from RefSeq and is a predicted model, not a curated record. The transcript has 2 exons. Lineage: Eukaryota; Metazoa; Chordata; Crocodylia; Alligatoridae.